Molecule: long non-coding RNA, 4127 nt
Filed under: Gossypium barbadense (sea-island cotton)
Lineage: Eukaryota; Viridiplantae; Streptophyta; Magnoliopsida; Malvales; Malvaceae
Description: long non-coding RNA (GBAR_LNC001892)
Source: RNAcentral
CUCAUGUCCAUCACAAAGCAUGCAUAAUCAUAUCCACAAACCAUUCAUGAAGCAUUAUUAACUAUUUACCAAUCACUUAAUCCUGCAUUAGUUAUUAGCUCAUCAAUGAAUCUCAAUUCAAUCUCUAGGCAUACAUGUUGUACGCCACAUCAUAAGAGAUAAUAACAUACAUGCAUAAGAAUAAUCAUAUGGGCCCAUAACGAUAUUAGCCGACAUAGGCCAAUUUACAUGACUAAUACUACCUUAAUAACAAGCCAAUGCCUUUGGCUAAAUCAUAAUGUUACAUACUCACAUUAAAACCCUAUACAUGUUAUAGACUAGAAUCACUUGAGUUUACUUACGCCGAUAGCGUUAACUCGACAGUGUGAUAAUAUCUCUGACGGCCUCCAACCCGAGCUAAUCUGGAAACUCUAGAAAACAUGGGAAAGAAGAGGGGGUAAGCUUUCGCUUAGUAAGUUCAUAUGAAAACAAUAAGCAACUCAUUAACUUGUUUUUAUCAAUGUUUACAACAUAUUCUCAAGUUCACUACAAGCCGUCUUUCUGAGCAACGGUCACUAAAUUAUUUAUAUCUGGAGCUACGAAACUCUGAAUUAAGUUCUGUUAAUUUUCCCUAAAACUAGACUUAUUUUCCUUUCUUCCAUAAAAUUUCUAGAAUUUUUUGUUAAGCCAAAUAGUAUAGUUUAUUCCUCAAAGUUACCCCUGAUUCACUGUCUGACAGUUCCGACCUCAAUUAUCUCAUAGUACAAGACUCGAAUAAUGUUCUCGUCUAUUUCUCUUGAAACUAGACUCAUAUUUCUACUUAAUAAUUUUUUUCUAGAAUUUUUGGUUGGGCCAAUUAGUACAGUUUAUUAAUUAAAGUCUCCCCUAUUUCAGGGUAUGACCACUUUGACCCCUGUGCACUACAAACCGAAUUUCUCCCUGUACAAAAUUCCAACGACCAUACCAUUUAUUUCUCCUAAAAAUAGACUCAAUAAGGAAUCCAUGCAUGUAAGGUAUGACUCUUAAUAAUUUUUGUACAAUUUUUGGUGAAUUUCUAAAGUCAGAAAAGGGGACCUCUAAUUUAUUCAGACCCUGUUUCACAAGAAUUCAAAUAUCACACAAUAUGGAAUUCUUUUUCUUCCCCUGUUUCUUUCAUGUGAAAAUAGACUCAUUAAUCUUUAAUCCCAUAUUUUAUUCUGUCUCUAACUCAUUUUCCACUAUUUUUAGUGUAUUUUAAAAGUUACACUACUGCAGUAACUCAAAUCUAUCAAGGCUAAAUUACUCAUUCAUGAUCAUUGUUCACAAAAUUAAUACAACAUCGUUUGUAUAAUCAUCACCGAGACAUUCAUAUCACAUUUUCAUUUACCAUCUUACCAUAUUGUUGUUAUGUCGAGUUUUCAACCCGAGGGUUAAGUACAUACCUGUUCAAAGUAUCCAUUUCACAACCUUUACCAAUACGUCCCUUUCAUCUCGAGUAUUCCUCCAUUUGAGUAGAAUUUUACCCGUUGAACACAUCGGAAUAUAAUUCGGAUACAUGGAAAGUUUGCACAUAAGUGCCACAUAUGUAGCCAAGCUACCAUGUAACCCGCCCAUAAGUGAACUCGGACUCAACUCAACGAGCUCGGGCGUUCGCAUCCAUAAGUGAACUCUGACUCAACUCAACGAGCUCGGAUGCCUAGUUACAUCUCACGAACUCGAACUCAACUCAACGAGUUCGGAUGCUCAACCAUCCUAGUGACAUGUCACUUGUAUCCUAAUCUAUUCCUAAGGUUCAAACGGGAUUUUCCUCGAACACAUAUCCUUGCCAUCUUCCGUAAAAUACCGAAACCAAUACUCGGUAGCACUUUAUAUUUAACAGAUAAUACACAUAACUUGCAUUUUAUUCGAAAAUAACCACAAAGCAUAUAUUUCAUGAUAAAAAUCAACAUAUCAUAUAUUUAACAUCAAUAACUUAAAAAUAACAAUUAUGCUACAUUAUUUACACAUGAACUUACCUCGAUACUACAAAGGUGAAAAAAAAAAGACGUAAUUAUCCCUUAAUCGAUUUCUUUCUGUUCUAGGUCCAAAUCUCGAUUUUCAUCAUCUAAAAUAUCACAUUCAACUUAUUAAAACAAUGUACUGAUCAAAUUAGUCCAUUGACACACUUGGGCAAUUUUUUACAAUUUUUCCCUUAUAUUUUGCCAAAAUUACCAAAUUAACCCUAGGCUCGUAAAAUAAUUUUUAUCACAUUUCUUUACUCCUUGAGUCUAAAUGAACCGUUUUCAUAACUAUAGCAACUCAUAAUUUCAACUAGUUCACACAUUUACAACUCAUUUUACAACUUAGCAAUCUAGCCCUUUUUAAGGUGUUUUCAUGUAAUUUCUUUCACAAAAGUUGUUUAUUAGACAACUAGGACUCAUAAUCUUCCAUAAAAACACAGCAAACAACACAUUUACUCUCAUGGCAAAACCCUAGACUCUUCAUCAUUUUGCAAAAUAGUCCCCUCUUAUGAAAGCUCAUGCUUUAGGGGUUCCAAAAAUGUAAAAAUCAUCAAGCAAAGACAUUAAAAUCACUUACAAGCAAGGGAAAUAUGUUGCUGAAAUUUUCCAGCUUCAAAGCCCUUUCUUUGCUGCAUAUUUUGGUGAAGGAGAAGAGAAAAAUGAUAGCUUUUUCUUUUUGAUUUGUUAAUAAUAAAACUAGUCAAAAUUGGUGACCAAAUUUCACCUAAUUUUGACUUUUCAACAAUUUUGUCUCCCAUGGCCGGCCAUCACACUUUCAAUGGCCUAAUUUCACUUUAAAUACCCCCAAUUUAAGAUACAAGUCAAUUUAACACCUUUAGGUAUUAAAACACAACUUUUACCUUUUACGCGAUUUAGUCCUUUUUCAAAAUUGGACUAGAAAUUGCUAAAAUUAACUUACCAAAAUUUACAUGCACUUAUAAAAUUAUAUUAUAACACAUAAAAUAAUAUUAAAAUAAUUUUCUCUAGCCUCGAAAUAGUGGUCCCGAAACCACUGUUUCGACUAGGCCCAAAAUCGGGCUGUUACAAGAAAUAUACUAUAUAUAUAUUAUUUAAAAUAUACAUGAAGUGAUAAAAACAUAUAUAAGUAACUAGUAAUGUUAAAGUAUAUACAUAAUAUAUACAUAUAUAUGUAUAAAAUGAAUAUUGAAAAUGUAUGUACAUAGCAUAUAUGAAAAAUACAAUAUAGUAUUCGUAUGAAAUGUAGAAAUACAAUAUUAAAAUGUAAGCACACGUAAUACAUAAAAAAUACAUAUAUAAUAUGUCACUAAAAUUGUAACACCCCUUACCCGAGACCGUUGCCGGAAUCGAGUACGAGGCAUUACUUAGCUUAUCUUACUAAUUCGGGGCAUAAAAAUUCGUUUUAAAAAUUAAUUUCACUGUUUACAGUAAUCUGUCCAAUCGCGCAGAAGUUACUAAAUUGAUUAUAACUCGAGAUACGGAACUCCAAAUUUAAUUUCGUAAAUUUUCCCUGAAACUAGACUCAUAUAUAUACUCACCAUAAAAUUUUUAGAAUUUUUGGUUCAGCAAAUUAGUACAGUUUAUUAGUUAAAGUCUCCCCUGUGUCACCACCAGACUGCCCUGACUUCUAGUCACUAAAAAUAAGUUUUCUCACUAUAGGAUUUUCAUAUGAAGUUUUUACUUGUUUCUAUAGAAAAUAGACUCAUUAAGGAAUCUAAGCAUGUAAAUUUCAACUCAUAACCAUUUUUGUACAAUUUGUAAUUAUUUUCUAAACUCAGAACAGGGGACUCCAAAAACAGUUCUGACCCUAUCUUACUAAAAUUCACAUAUCUUAAAAUAUAAAUUUCUUUUCUCUACACCGUUAUUUUUUCAUGAAAAUAGACUCAACAAUAUUUAAUUCCAUAUAUCAUUCACCCUCUAAUUCAUUUUAUACUAUCUUGGGUGAUUUUUCAAAUUCACGUCGCUAUUGCUGCCUGAAUUCUGUUUCUUUGCAAAAUUUUACCAUUUUAUGACUUUCAUACCUAAUUUAUCACUUAGACUUUUAUAACAAUAAUUAACUUCAUCCUUGACCAUUUAAACAACCAUUCAUCAUCAAAUACUUACACAUCAUUCUAUAGUAAAAUCAUAUUUACAAAUAUACAAAAUUACUAAAUUCCUAUACAUGCCAUAACUAAAAGAAAUGUUCACCAC